RNAcentral lists this ribosomal RNA (465 nucleotides) under Bacillus sp. enrichment culture clone A5d. Its description in RNAcentral is "bacterial SSU rRNA". It matches the Rfam family "Bacterial small subunit ribosomal RNA", at positions 81 to 534 of the family's 1533-position model. The record is from RNAcentral. Lineage: Bacteria; Bacillati; Bacillota; Bacilli; Caryophanales; Bacillaceae.
CUUGCUUUUUAGUUACGGCGGACGGGUGAGUACACGUGGGCACCUGCCUGUAAGACUGGGAUAACUUCGGGAAACCGGAGCUAAUACCGGAUAAUCCUUUCCUACUCAUGUAGGAAAGCUGAAAGACGGUUUACGCUGUCACUUACAGAUGGGCCCGCGGCGCAUUAGCUAGUUGGUGAGGUAACGGCUCACCAAGGCGACGAUGCGUAGCCGACCUGAGAGGGUGAUCGGCCACACUGGGACUGAGACACGGCCCAGACUCCUACGGGAGGCAGCAGUAGGGAAUCUUCCGCAAUGGACGAAAGUCUGACGGAGCAACGCCGCGUGAGUGAUGAAGGUUUUCGGAUCGUAAAACUCUGUUGUUAGGGAAGAACAAGUACGAGAGUAACUGCUCGUACCUUGACGGUACCUAACCAGAAAGCCACGGCUAACUACGUGCCAGCAGCCGCGGUAAUACGUAAGUGG